Molecule: unclassified non-coding RNA, 1986 nt
Filed under: Orussus abietinus
Lineage: Eukaryota; Metazoa; Arthropoda; Insecta; Hymenoptera; Orussidae
Description: galectin-6, transcript variant X1
Source: RNAcentral
UGUAAACUUGUGUCAACCAUUUUAUAUCUCUAUUGAUAAGAUUCAUUGAAUUCAUCCAUGAGCGUAACCUCACUUUCACGAGUCGUUUCAAUCCUACGGAGUUCUCAUGAACGCGCAGUGGCACUCAAGUUAACCUAGUGUCAAAGAUGUUGGAUGAAAAAAUGUCCAACAGUGUCCGUAAUCUAAAAGUAGAAGCCCUGAAAAAUUUCAACCUUGUCGAUACAGAGGCGAAAGCAUUGGACUUGGACAAACCUCGGAAACUAGAUCCCUUAAAGACGGGAUCGACGAUCAUUGUUACUGGUUACAUACUUCCUAACGCAACUAGAUUCUCUGUAAAUCUAACAUGCAAGACACCCGAGACCUUGGCACUGCACUUUAACCCACGCCUGGAUAGACAGUACGUUGUCAGAAACACCAAAAGACAUGGCACUUGGGAAGAGGAGGAACCAUGCGCCCCGAUCGGAGUUCAGGGCUUCUCCUUCAAGAGGAGCACGUACUUCCACCUCAUGAUCUUCUGCUCUCCUAACAGUUUUCAGAUAGCCGUGAAUGGAGAUCAUUUCUGCGAGUUCGCCUUCAGGGUGCCGCUGGAGACGAUAACUGGGAUCGAGGUGACCGGCCAUGUUGAGGAUGUAAAGACGAGACAAUGCGUCCGAUUCGUGUACCCUGAUCCGAAUAUCCUGAAGACCUCUCCAGCUCUGCAACUGGAUGGUACCCAUAUUCUCGAAGAAAAUCUGGAAAUGCCUGUAAACGUGGACCUCAACAAUGGCUUCCGAACUGGAGCACGCCUCUUCGUCAAGGGCAGGUUGAAACUUCUGCCUCACUCGUUCUACUUGAAUCUGCAGAAAGGGAAGUUCAUCUAUCCACAUCCGGUGAUCGCUCUUCACCUUAAUCCGAGAUUUUUGUACGGCAGAUCGCCGCCGUGCGUCGUUCUGAAUUGUUGGCAAAAUGGAAGUUGGAGUCGCGAGGAAAGACAGGAAGGACACUUGUUCUGGGGACCGGGAAGAGAGUUUCUCCUUACUGUGCGCUGUGAACGCGAUGCCUGGACGAUAUGGCUGGACAACACAAUGAUUGGAGAAUUCAAGCACAGACUCGAUCCCACGAUAAUCGACAGUUUGCGUAUCGUAGGAGAUGUGAUUAUUCAUCAACUUGCUGUUAAUUACAAGUAAUGGCCAAAAGGAGUAUGCCCACCGGGGACCUCCUCCAGGAGAGCUGUCGUUCAUAAAUUAGACAGGAGUCCAAAAGCUUCCUCUCGCUUUCCGACGUGGAAAACUGCUUCCGUACCAAACUUCGACUGAUUUCUGGACGACGAUGACUGCGAUUAUUCCCAGUCCCUGCAUAAAGUCAGCUCCAUUUUUACCGUCCACGGCAUUCCAGGCUGAGAUACAUAAAGAAAUAAUUGGCGUCACGCCAACGAAAGGAACAAUUGAGUAGAGAUAGGAAAACUUCCGACUAAGACCAUUCCACGAGCAGAUCUCUUUUCUUUCUUUAUUUUAAUCUCUUUUUUCCCCCACUUUUUUUUUUAUUCAAGUCAAGCUCUGCCAAGUUUCUAAUCUCCGCGAUAGUACGGAGUAAUUUUUUAUGUAUAUUUUAUCUCUCUCUCGUUAUUCUGUAUUCGAGGAAUGCGUCUCGUCGAGGAAAAAAAUAUCGUUCUUUCGGUCUCGCUGGGUCGAAGCGACUUCCGGCACGUUUCGUAGCCUCUAUAAGUGAUUAAUCAGGGAGGGGAGAAAAUAUUAAAAAAUGAAAAAAAAAUCUCGUCAAACUGAGCACGGGCAACGAGAGAGCUAUUGUACUCCCGUGCCUAAUUUUCACAGGAAGCCGUACUCUCUGUGAAGCGUAACCGAUGUUACGUAAUUGCGUAUCAUUUUUACAUCACGAAUGGUUCGUUUGUAUAUGAAGUGUUGAAUUUUUAAAUAUUGUAUCGCCUUAUUUAUUAAUAAUAAUGUACAUUACUUUUAGGAAACAAUAAAAACAAUUACAUUUUCACCA